GUGGGGAAUCUUGCGCAAUGGGCGAAAGCCUGACGCAGCCAUGCCGCGUGGAUGAUGAAGGUCUUAGGAUUGCAAAAUCCUUUCACCGGUGAAGAUAAUGACUAUAGCCGGAGAAGAAGCCCCGGCUAACUUCGUGCCAGCAGCCGCGGUAAUACGAAGGGGGCUAGCGUUGGUCGGUCUUACUGGGGGGAAAGGGCGCGUAGGCGGACAUUUAAGUCAGGGGUGAAAUCCCGGGGCUCAACCGCGGAACUGCCUUUGAUACUGGGUGUCUUGAGUAUGAGAGAGGUGUGUGGAACUCCGAGUGUAGAGGUGAAAUUCGUAGAUAUUCGGAAGAACACCAGUGGCGAAGGCGACUCACUGGCCCAAUACUGACGCUGAGGCGCGAAAGCGUGGGGAGCAAACAGGAUUAGAUACCCGGGUAGUCC
This 425-nucleotide ribosomal RNA is filed under the name uncultured bacterium. RNAcentral describes it as "partial 16S ribosomal RNA". It matches the Rfam family "Bacterial small subunit ribosomal RNA", at positions 354 to 796 of the family's 1533-position model. The record is from RNAcentral.